Molecule: ribosomal RNA, 253 nt
Filed under: uncultured bacterium
Lineage: Bacteria
Description: partial 16S ribosomal RNA
Rfam family: Bacterial small subunit ribosomal RNA
Source: RNAcentral
UACGAACCGUGCGAACGUUAUUCGGAAUCAUUGGGCGUAAAGAGCGCGUAGGCGGCCCUGUAAGUCCGCUGUGAAAGUCAAGGGCUCAACCCGGGAACUGCGUCCGAUACUGGAAGGCUUGAAUCCGGGAGAGGGAUGUGGAAUUCCAGGUGUAGCGGUGAAAUGCGUAGAUAUCUGGAGGAACACCGGUGGCGAAGGCGACAUCCUGGACCGGUAUUGACGCUGAGGCGCGAAAGCCAGGGGAGCAAACGGG